RNAcentral lists this ribosomal RNA (140 nucleotides) under uncultured Trebouxiophyceae. Its description in RNAcentral is "partial small subunit ribosomal RNA". It matches the Rfam family "Eukaryotic small subunit ribosomal RNA", at positions 1670 to 1804 of the family's 1831-position model. The record is from RNAcentral. Lineage: Eukaryota; Viridiplantae; Chlorophyta; Trebouxiophyceae.
CGCCCGUCGCUCCUACCGAUUGGGUGUGCUGGUGAAGUGUUCGGAUUGGCGGCCGCGCCAGUGGCUCGCCCGCUGCCGGCCGCCGAGAAGUUCAUUAAACCCUCCCACCUAGAGGAAGGAGAAGUCGUAACAAGGUUUCC